UGAACCAAAUGGGAUUCCUUAAGUCGAAUUGCGAAUGAACAAGGAAAUGCUCAGCUUGAAAAAUGGGGCCUUCGGCUUUGAAUUGUAAUUUUGAAAUGUAUUGCCAAUGGAGGCGCAGGUGCAAGCCUAUUGAAAGAAAGCGUCAAUGAGGGUGAGAUUCCUUUUUGUCAUUUGCAGUCCUCCGUGCACGGUAUAUAUUUGACGAGUCACACUCCUCGGCAUUGGAAUGCAAAGUGGGUGGUAAAUUCCAUGUAAAGGUAAAUAUAUUAUUGAGACUGAUAGCAAACAAGUACCAUGAGGGAAAUAUGAAAAGGACUUUGAAAAGAGAAUUAAAAGAGUCUGCAUUUGCUGAACAGAAAGCAAACAGAAUUGAUCUUGCCUGGUGAGAUUGUUGCGUCUACUUNUGCAUUUCUAUGUUGGAUGUGGGUGCGAUGGUUCUUGCCUUGAAUGUCACCUUCUUUUUCUGCAAAUCAUUACCCUUGCACAUGAAUGGUAAUUUGCCUGCGGGUAUUGGAAUGCAUGUGUUUGCCAUGAUUUGUAAUUUGAUACAUGUGUCUGGUGGUACUUGUGUGUGUUCCUUUGUCAAAGGGGAAGGUUUGCUUCCUUGAGCACCACAAGCCCUUGCACAAUGUUGCUGGCAAAAUGU
This 646-nucleotide ribosomal RNA is filed under the name Alexandrium tamutum. RNAcentral describes it as "LSU rRNA". It matches the Rfam family "Eukaryotic large subunit ribosomal RNA", at positions 56 to 633 of the family's 3401-position model. The record is from RNAcentral. Lineage: Eukaryota; Dinophyceae; Gonyaulacales; Pyrocystaceae.